ACUAAGGGUGAUGAUUUAUCAAAUGCAGUUUGUACACGCCCACACAGUUCUGAGAAGAGGUAUAAACGUCAUUUUUAUAACUAGAAACAUGAUCAUGCCUCUCUCUAUUAGUCUCCAUCCAGCAGCUCCAGCCAGACACCACCCAACCCACACAGAGGCCGUAGCCGAAAUUGUUGACCUUCGGGAAAAUCCCACUCUUCUAUACGCCUAACUUCCAAACGGCUGGCCCCUCAAUACCCAACCCGCAGGCCCCGGAUAAGUCUCCUUGCUAUGCUACAAACAAAGAAAUUUUUAGAUAAACAUCAGUGAAAGACAAGUUUGUUCAAAAGAGAAGUUUAAAGGAUAAAGUUAAUAAUCUCAGCAUUGGCUAUCAAGGAUGAAAGAGAGGUAAUAUGCACAAAGACCAGUGCGAGACCAGUGUGGCAGGAAGUGCAUUUUACAUAUUCUGUUAUAACCAAUGAGAUGCAUUUGAUGGUGUGAUGUAUCACAGCUUACCUCCUUCACUCACUGAAAUACCAACAAGUUUCUUGACAAGACGCAAUGUCAAGAUGAUCCUGUUAUGGGUUACAAUGCUUGUCUUUAUCAAGGAUGUAAGUGCUAUUUUAUUAUUUUUAUUUAAGAAUUUAUAUGCCAACUGGACAACUUUGCAUCAUAUCCAUUCCACAUCAUACAAUUACUGUUUUAUAUAUUGUAUGUUUUCAUUUCAUUCAGAUACAUUGGUUCCAUUGACCACCGUUGAACUUGGUGAACCUGCGACCUUAACAUGUGUUUUGCCUAAUCAAGAGUUGAGCAGUAGAAUACUCCACUGGUACAAGCAACAAACAGAUUGGACUGAUUCUGGUGAUGGAGUGGGACAUAUCUGUUAGUAAAAGCUCCUCUGAUGCUGGGACUUAUAACUGUGCUGUGGCCACAUGUGGGAAAAUAUUAUUUGGAGACAAAACUGGACUUUCAAGAGAGAUGAGGACACAUGGAUUUAUUCUGCUGUCGUCUUCAGCUUGAUGAAAGCUGACGGUGUAAAAAAGGAUGCAAAAGCAGCGGAGAGAGAGAGGAUCUAUGCUGCUGUCAAGGAUUUUCGUUUGGAUUAGUGAGUUAACAGGUCUGUUUGUCAUCAGUUGGUACUGUAUGAUAUAGUUAAUGUUAGUCUGUUUGGAGCUAAAGGGUUUGUUAUACUGUCUGUGGCUAUUUGGUAGUACUGUCUAUGUUUUACUGUAUAUAAUUUUUUUCAACGUCUAAAAAAAGUAGAUUUUGUCUUUUUCAUGCAAAUGUGAACCCCCGUGUAUUAGAGGUAAAGGUGCCAAAUGUGAACUACAUUGUCCAGUUCAAGUCUGGCUCGGGACCUUUAUUGCAUCUUUCUCCCGCAUUUCCAAUCAUGUCUCUAAUGGCUUUAAUAAAGAUAAAAAAAUACCCAGAAAUACACACAGUAAGGCUAUUCAAAUGUGUUUCUGUUAACGUGGACAUUAUUGUUACACCCCUAAAAGUUACAGGCAAAUUUAUGUUGAUGGACCAAAUAUCAGAGAGGUUUACUGUUUUUAAAGUAGAGAAAACGAACAAGGUAUACUCGAUUAUUAUUAUUAUUUGGAUCCAAAAAUAAUAUGAAUCAGUACUCAGAAUCAGACAAUACCCUGUAUUGAAAUUAGGAUGGGGAGAGAGAAAGUCAGAUCAGAGGAUUUUAGAAAAUAAGUUUAUUGCAUCAUCAUGAAUGUCUUUUGUUUGGAGAAAGAGAUCAUUUUUGUAUUUUAUUGCUGAAGAUGCAGUUACUAUGUAUCCAUAUUUAAUGCCAGAAGCAAACACACAUCC
Molecule: long non-coding RNA, 1797 nt
Organism: Micropterus salmoides (largemouth bass)
Lineage: Eukaryota; Metazoa; Chordata; Actinopteri; Centrarchiformes; Centrarchidae
Exons: 3
Source: RefSeq, a predicted model, not a curated record